RNAcentral lists this ribosomal RNA (279 nucleotides) under uncultured bacterium. Its description in RNAcentral is "partial 16S ribosomal RNA". It matches the Rfam family "Bacterial small subunit ribosomal RNA", at positions 506 to 784 of the family's 1533-position model. The record is from RNAcentral.
UGCCAGCCGCCGCGGUAAUACGAAGGGGGCCAGCGUUGUUCGGAAUCACUGGGCGUAAAGCGCACGUAGGCGGACUUUUAAGUCAGGGGUGAAAUCCCGGGGCUCAACCCCGGAACUGCCUUUGAUACUGGAAGUCUUGAGACCGAGAGAGGUGAGUGGAACUCCGAGUGUAGAGGUGAAAUUCGUAGAUAUUAGGAAGAACACCAGUGGCGAAGGCGACUUUCUGGCUCGUAACUGACGCUGAGGCACGAAAGCGUGGGGAGCAAACAGGAUUAGAUA